This 68-nucleotide transfer RNA is filed under the name Sminthopsis crassicaudata (fat-tailed dunnart). RNAcentral's name for it is "tRNA-Tyr". It matches the Rfam family "tRNA". Rfam says of the family: Transfer RNA (tRNA) molecules are approximately 80 nucleotides in length. Their secondary structure includes four short double-helical elements and three loops (D, anti-codon, and T loops). The record is from RNAcentral. Lineage: Eukaryota; Metazoa; Chordata; Mammalia; Dasyuromorphia; Dasyuridae.
GGUAAAAUGGCUGAGUAUAAGCAUUGGACUGUAAAUCCAAAGACAGGGACUAACAUCUCUUUUUACCA